RNAcentral lists this unclassified non-coding RNA (238 nucleotides) under Hevea brasiliensis (rubber tree). Lineage: Eukaryota; Viridiplantae; Streptophyta; Magnoliopsida; Malpighiales; Euphorbiaceae. The record is from RNAcentral.
CACAUAACUAUCAUAUUCUCCACUCAAAACCUUUGAAUCAACAACUUUUAAGCCUUCAGGGGCAUUGAUUGACUUAGAACCUUCCCCUUGAUCAGGAUUCCCUAAAAAUAACUUGUUAAUAUUAGAAAAUCUUAAUGACUCACUUCUGUGAUCAACCCUAGCACAUAAAACUCGAGCUUUUGUACCAGUAGGGACCUUUGAUUUACACGAAUUUGAGCUUUUAUCAACUAAUUUCCAC